UAUUAAAAUAGUUUAAUCAAAAUAUUGAUUUGUGGUGUCAAAGAUUUUUAUAAAUUUUAAUU
This 62-nucleotide transfer RNA is filed under the name Lanthanaphalara mira. RNAcentral's name for it is "tRNA-His". The record is from RNAcentral. Lineage: Eukaryota; Metazoa; Arthropoda; Insecta; Hemiptera; Aphalaridae.